GUGAACGCUGGCGGUAGGCCUAACACAUGCAAGUCGAACGGCAGCACAGUAAGAGCUUGCUCUUACGGGUGGCGAGUGGCGGACGGGUGAGGAAUACAUCGGAAUCUACUUUUUCGUGGGGGAUAACGUAGGGAAACUUACGCUAAUACCGCAUACGACCUACGGGUGAAAGCAGGGGAUCUUCGGACCUUGCGCGAUUGAAUGAGCCGAUGUCGGAUUAGCUAGUUGGCGGGGUAAAGGCCCACCAAGGCGACGAUCCGUAGCUGGUCUGAGAGGAUGAACAGGCCAACUGGAACUGAGACACGGUCCAGACUCCUACGGGAGGCAGCAGUGGGGAAUAUUGGACAAUGGGCGCAAGCCUGAUCCAGCGAUACCGCGUGGGUGAAGAAGGCCUUCGGGUUGUAAAGCCCUUUUGUUGGGAAAGAAAAGCAGCAGGUUAAUACCCCGCUGUUCUGACGGUACCCAAAGAAUAAGCACCGGCUAACUUCGUG
Molecule: ribosomal RNA, 491 nt
Filed under: uncultured bacterium
Lineage: Bacteria
Description: partial 16S ribosomal RNA
Rfam family: Bacterial small subunit ribosomal RNA
Source: RNAcentral